UACGUAGGGGACAAGCGUUGUCCGGAUUUAUUGGGCGUAAAGAGCGUGUAGGCGGUUAGGUAGGUCCGUUGUGAAAACUCGAGGCUCAACCUCGAGACGCCGAUGGAAACCAUCUAACUAGAGUCCGGAAGAGGAGAGUGGAAUUCCUGGUGUAGCGGUGAAAUGCGCAGAUAUCAGGAAGAACACCCGUGGCUAAGGCGGCUCUCUAGUACGGUACUGACGCUGAGACGCGAAAGCGUGGGGAGCGAACAGG
This 253-nucleotide ribosomal RNA is filed under the name uncultured bacterium. Its description in RNAcentral is "partial 16S ribosomal RNA". It matches the Rfam family "Bacterial small subunit ribosomal RNA", at positions 524 to 776 of the family's 1533-position model. The record is from RNAcentral.